AAAGAAGCCGUCGAGAGAUAUCGGAAGAGUUUUCUUUUCUGUUUUAUAGCCGUACUACCAUGGAAGUCUUUCGCAGAGAGAUAUGGUAGAUGGGCUAGAAGAGCAUGACAUAUACUGUUGUGUCGAUAUUUUCUCCUCGGACCUUGAAAAUUUAUGGUGGGGACACGCAAACUUCUCAACAGGCCGUACCAAUAUCCGCAGCUGGUCUCCAAGGUGAAGAGUCUCUAGUCGAUAGAAUAAUGUAGGUAAGGGAAGUCGGCAAAUUAGAUCCGUAACUUCGGGAUAAGGAUUGGCUCUGAAGAUUGAGAUAGUCGGGCUUGAUUGGGAAACAAUAACAUGGUUUAUGUGCUCGUUCUGGGUAAAUAGAGUUUCUAGCAUUUAUGUUAGUUACUUGUUCCCCGGAUAGUUUAGUUACGUAGCCAAUUGUGGAACUUUCUUGCUAAAAUUUUUAAGAAUACUAUUUGGGUUAAACCAAUUAGUUCUUAUUAAUUAUAACGAUUAUCAAUUAACAAUCAAUUCAGAACUGGCACGGACUUGGGGAAUCCGACUGUCUAAUUAAAACAAAGCAUUGUGAUGGCCCUAGCGGGUGUUGACACAAUGUGAUUUCUGCCCAGUGCUCUGAAUGUCAAAGUGAAGAAAUUCAAGUAAGCGCGGGUAUAAAGGCAAGA
This 668-nucleotide ribosomal RNA is filed under the name Drosophila melanogaster (fruit fly). Its description in RNAcentral is "eukaryotic LSU rRNA". It matches the Rfam family "Eukaryotic large subunit ribosomal RNA", at positions 1661 to 2258 of the family's 3401-position model. Lineage: Eukaryota; Metazoa; Arthropoda; Insecta; Diptera; Drosophilidae. The record is from RNAcentral.